RNAcentral lists this microRNA precursor (76 nucleotides) under Myotis davidii. RNAcentral describes it as "mir-9229 microRNA precursor family". It matches the Rfam family "mir-9229 microRNA precursor family". The record is from Rfam by way of RNAcentral. Lineage: Eukaryota; Metazoa; Chordata; Mammalia; Chiroptera; Vespertilionidae.
GAGACACCCUUAUGGGGCAGGACUUGUUUCAUUGGAGGUUUGGUGCUCACUGAGUCUGCCCCUUGAGUGUGUCUCU